This 388-nucleotide ribosomal RNA is filed under the name Testudo hermanni. RNAcentral's name for it is "partial 12S ribosomal RNA". It matches the Rfam family "Bacterial small subunit ribosomal RNA", at positions 801 to 1384 of the family's 1533-position model. The record is from RNAcentral. Lineage: Eukaryota; Metazoa; Chordata; Testudines; Testudinidae.
CAUAAACCCAGAUAUUUAACAUACAAAAAUAUCCGCCAGAGAACUACGAGCAAAACGCUUAAAACUCUAAGGACUUGGCGGUACCUUAAACCCCCCUAGAGGAGCCUGUUCUAUAAUCGAUAAUCCACGAUCUACCUCACCAUCUCUUGCCAAUACCGCCUAUAUACCGCCGUCACCAGCCUACCCUAUGAAGGAUAUAAAAGUAAGCAAAAUAGCACAACAGCUAACAAGUCAGGUCAAGGUGUAGCUUACUGAGAUGGAAGAAAUGGGCUACAUUUUCUAAACUAGAAAUCAUUUCACGGAAAGAACUAUGAAACAAGUCCUAUAAGUAGGAUUUAGCAGUAAAUAGGGAUCAGAAUGCCCAAUUUAAGCCGGUCCUAAGGUACGC